This 465-nucleotide ribosomal RNA is filed under the name uncultured bacterium. RNAcentral's name for it is "partial 16S ribosomal RNA". It matches the Rfam family "Bacterial small subunit ribosomal RNA", at positions 338 to 795 of the family's 1533-position model. The record is from RNAcentral.
CCUACGGGGUGCAGCAGUGGGGAAUAUUGCGCAAUGGGCGAAAGCCUGACGCAGCGACGCCGCGUGAGGGAUGAAGGUCUUCGGAUCGUAAACCUCUGUCAGCAGGGAAGAACGGUCACUGUGCUAAUCAGCAGUGAAUUGACGGUACCUGCAAAGGAAGCACCGGCUAACUCCGUGCCAGCAGCCGCGGUAAUACGGAGGGUGCGAGCGUUAAUCGGAAUUACUGGGCGUAAAGCGCUCGUAGGCGGUAUGUCAAGUCAAGGGUGAAAUCCCCGCGCUCAACGUGGGAACUGCCUUUGAAACGGGCAAACUGGAGUGUGUGAGAGGAUAGUGGAAUUCCAGGUGUAGGAGUGAAAGCCGUAGAUAUCUGGAGGAACAUCAGUGGCGAAGGCGACUAUCUGGCACAUAACUGACGCUGAGGAGCGAAAGCGUGGGUAGCAAACAGGAUUAGAUACCCCAGUAGUC